AAAAGAAACCAACAGGGAUUGCCUUAGUAGCGGCGAGUGAAGCGGCAAAAGCUCAAAUUUGAAAUCCUGGCACUUUCAGUGUCCGAGUUGUAAUUUGAAGAAGGUAUCUUUGGGUCUGGCUCUUGUCUAUGUUUCUUGGAACAGAACGUCACAGAGGGUGAGAAUCCCGUGCGAUGAGAUGUCCCAGACCUAUGUAAAGUUCCUUCGAAGAGUCGAGUUGUUUGGGAAUGCAGCUCUAAGUGGGUGGUAAAUUCCAUCUAAAGCUAAAUAUUGGCGAGAGACCGAUAGCGAACAAGUACAGUGAUGGAAAGAUGAAAAGAACUUUGAAAAGAGAGUGAAAAAGUACGUGAAAUUGUUGAAAGGGAAGGGCUUGAGAUCAGACUUGGUAUUUUGUAUGUUACUCUCUCGGGGGUGGCCUCUACAGUUUACCGGGCCAGCAUCAGUUUGAGCGGUAGGAUAAGUGCAAAGAAAUGUGGCACUGCUUCGGUAGUGUGUUAUAGUCUUUGUCGAUACUGCCAGCUUAGACUGAGGACUGCGGCUUCGGCCUAGGAUGUUGGCAUAAUGAUCUUAAGUCGCCC
Molecule: ribosomal RNA, 578 nt
Filed under: Lodderomyces parapsilosis
Lineage: Eukaryota; Fungi; Ascomycota; Pichiomycetes; Serinales; Debaryomycetaceae
Description: Candida parapsilosis partial large subunit ribosomal RNA
Rfam family: Eukaryotic large subunit ribosomal RNA
Source: RNAcentral